UCUAAACUUCUAUCAAAUCAAUUUUCUCUGAGGCAAAUUAACAUUUUAGGUUUUUGCAAAAGUGAAAAAAUAUAUGAAUGACUUUCAGACUGAGCUUUCUGACUCCACUUCCUGCUAACUAGUAGAGCUUGUAGUGAAUCUAUAUUUGUUACGGAUGUCUUUUUUCUCUUUAUUGCAUUACCUUUGAUUUCCCUUUGAUUUUGAUGAUAACAAUAGGUGAUGCUAUCAUAAAGAAGACUUGUGAAACCACUUGCACCAGUGCCAUGAAUUGUGAAACUUUUGCUGCAAACCUCUGCAAAGACGAGGCCCUGAAAGACCAUGUAGGAUCAAAUUGUGUCAACGUCAUCUGCCCUAAACCUGAUCCUUCAUCCACCUUUACUUGUGCCUCUAUCACUUCAAGCGUUUGCAGUACCCUGGGUGA
Non-coding RNA from Poecilia reticulata (guppy), 421 nucleotides. NCBI's taxonomy places the organism in Eukaryota, Metazoa, Chordata, Actinopteri, Cyprinodontiformes, Poeciliidae. The record is from RefSeq and is a predicted model, not a curated record.